This 429-nucleotide ribosomal RNA is filed under the name Chloroflexota bacterium. Its description in RNAcentral is "Chloroflexi bacterium partial 16S ribosomal RNA". It matches the Rfam family "Bacterial small subunit ribosomal RNA", at positions 355 to 776 of the family's 1533-position model. The record is from RNAcentral. Lineage: Bacteria; Bacillati; Chloroflexota.
UGGGGAAUAUUGCACAAUGGGCGCAAGCCUGAUGCAGCCAUGCCGCGUGUAUGAAGAAGGCCUUCGGGUUGUAAAGUACUUUCAGUCGGGAGGAAGGUGGUAAGGUUAAUAACCUUAUCAAUUGACGUUACCGACAGAAGAAGCACCGGCUAACUCCGUGCCAGCAGCCGCGGUAAUACGGAGGGUGCAAGCGUUAAUCGGAAUUACUGGGCGUAAAGCGCACGCAGGCGGUUGAUUGAGUCAGAUGUGAAAUCCCCGGGCUUAACCCGGGAAUUGCAUCUGAUACUGGUCAGCUAGAGUCUCGUAGAGGGGGGUAGAAUUCCAGGUGUAGCGGUGAAAUGCGUAGAGGUCUGGAGGAAUACCGGUGGCGAAGGCGGCCCCCUGGACGAAGACUGACGCUCAGGUGCGAAAGCGUGGGGAGCAAACAGG